This is a long non-coding RNA of Sitophilus oryzae (rice weevil), 293 nucleotides long. RefSeq lists it as uncharacterized. The transcript has 2 exons. The record is from RefSeq and is a predicted model, not a curated record. NCBI's taxonomy places the organism in Eukaryota, Metazoa, Arthropoda, Insecta, Coleoptera, Curculionidae.
UUUUAAAAAGGUAUUAAAUAUAUAUGUAAUAUAAAUAAUUUUUGUUUUAGAUAAAUGCGGAAUAAAUGGAAAUGGAUUGACAUAAUUCAAAGGAUUAAAAAUCAAGAAAGUUUUGCCGAUAAUAUUUAAGUUUUGUUAAUAAUAAAUGUUCUAUUAUGGAUAUAUUCAGUUAAAAUAUCACAAAAAAGUGUUGUCAUUAACUGUUCAAAUAUAUAUGAUGUAUGAUAUCGAGAUGUUACUUUGUAUGAAUAAAGAGGAGGAAAAAAAUCAAUGAAGAUUUAGUCGAAGUAGAA